AGAGUGGCAAGGGCAGGUAUGUUCCCAAGCUCCAUUGGGAUUGUUCCUGAUAUAUUGUUGUCCUGUAGAAGCCUGUAAAAACAAAAACUCUACAAUGAAGAACAGAGGCUUUUCAUGGCGAUGAAGAAGAUGACUACUCACACCGACUGAAGAUUUGUCAAAUUUCCGACGCUCGGCGACAGGGUACCCGACAAGUUCUGACUAGGAGCUCCUCUGCAAUGAAUUGUUUCAUUGGAACAAUCAGUGAUCAUGGUCCAGCUACAUGGAUCCACAGCAUUUUCAUCCCAAUUAAGAACAGAAUGAGGGUCUUUCAGAGCAGCUUUGAUGGCCAUCAGGGCUUGCACUAAAAGGUAAGCAAAGCAUUUACAGAAGAAUUCCUUAAGCAAAACAAGAACAAGAAGAACAAAAUGAAAAGUUGUUGAAGCAUUCUUCAAUGGCGUUGA
Molecule: long non-coding RNA, 443 nt
Organism: Cucurbita maxima (winter squash)
Lineage: Eukaryota; Viridiplantae; Streptophyta; Magnoliopsida; Cucurbitales; Cucurbitaceae
Exons: 3
Source: RefSeq, a predicted model, not a curated record